UUGAUUCUGUAAACGAGAUUCGUUCAAACAAUUAUGUGUUAUUAUUACUUGUAAUUACAUUAGGACUCGGUUUGUCGUGAAACAUUGGCUCUGUGAACGAUCACGUUGAAAUCGGAUAUAUUCCCACGUUCGACUAUUGUGCUCUUCAUCCCACAUGACAAAAUAUAAUAGAAUCUUUAGAAAAACUAGCAUAGGGGAAGCGAACAGUCAUUUAGAUUUUGUAAUCGGAUAUUUCAUGUAUGGUAAUUAAUCGAAUACCGGGCGGGCGCGGUUUAUGGUAUUUUCUUUAUUGGUGAAUUAAGAGAUCUAGUUAAUAACGUGUCGAUGGCAAGUGCGUGAAUGUCGAACACGUCAACUGGACUUAUCUAAUCUCGAUCUGUGAAAUUAAAAUUUUGGUUCAAAGUUGUACGGAGUGUUGUUGUAUUGUUCUGUUACGAAUAGUCACUAUCGGAUUUCCUCGGACACGUCGAUCGAAGCUCGAAUUUCAACUGUAACGUAUCUAACAUUACAGUGCGCGCACUUCGUUAUCAGCGUGAUAAAUCGUAUUUCGCCUUUUGACAACAACACAGCAACCUCGUGGCCAACGUUACAUGUACAGUAAUUGACCCGUGCCGGGCGUGUAUACUAAUAUUGUGAUGUCACGCGCUGUUUACAUUUACCGUACCCACAACGCAAUCCGCCUUGGCUCGAUGUCUUGUAGCACAAACACUCGGAAAACGGUCGCGCACACAUUAUAUAUAUGCUGUGUAAAACUAAAGAUAUUUACACAAAAUUAUAUAAACUCAACGAUGAUGCUGCCACUCAAAUCGGUAAUGUCAAGGAAAAAAGUAAUGCUGAUGAUAAUGAAAAAAAAAAAAUAUUAUGGAACAUCAAAAUCACCCUAACAAGAAUAUAAAGACUAAUUAUAGAUGCUAUAUAAACUGUAAUUAUCCCUCUGUUAAGUACAUAACAGAUUACAUAUUGUUAUGAAUGUGUUAAAGCUUUCAUGGAUUGUCUUGUUGCUUGAAAUCCUUGAGCAUAUAUCCAUGUUUUCAGUUGGUUUCUGACUCAUUGCAGAGUCCAUCUUCAGAGUGAUGAUUGCUAGUCGGUGGCUGCAACUAUACUGGCGGCUUAUCUUGAUAACAGUCUGUUUUUAUAAAAUUGAUAACAUCUGGUUUUUGACUAACGUUGUUUGCCGUAUCAGGGUUUUUGACUAACGUUAUUGACAACAUUUCGAUUUUUGACUAACGUUGUUUACGACAUUCUUGACAUUUCUGUCUUCCUUUCCUACACCGGCAAUUAUUUGUUAUGCUGAUUGUAGCCUCUUCAUAUAUUGAAUUAUUUCGGCGUUGUUGGUUGAAUUCCUUUUUGUCUAGUGUAUGAUAGGUAACCAAGUUUUGUUGAUUUUCCAUCCAUCUUCUCGGUUGAAAUUUUCCGGACAUUUUUCGAUUUCUAAUGCUUCCUUGUACAUCCGUUUUCCAAAAUGAAUUUCUUUGUUUAGUAUUUUUACUUUAUCGAAUUGUAUGUCAUAUCCUCUGUUUUUGGCACGUUCAGCUACUGCAGAUUUUUCUGUUCUUUGGUACUCCACGUCUUUUUCAUGUUCUUUAAUUCUUGUCGCAAUAGCUCUUCCUGUUUGUCCAAUGUAAGAUUUACCACAUGAACACGGUAAUUCAUAUACUUCUGAUGUUUGCAUCUCUGGCAGUUUAUCUUUCAGGUUUCGGAGUAGUGAUCCUGCAACUGUGUUUGGUUUGAAGACGGUUCUUAAGAUGGACUCUGCAAUGAGUCCGAAACGUCAGAAACAAACUGAAAACAUGGAUAUAUCCUCAAGCAUUACAUAUUGUUAUUCUAAAUUGUACUUAAUAUAAUAUUUAUCAAAAAAUAUUCAGAAGGGUUGAGUUUAGAAUUUUUUUAUUAUAUUACAUUAUAAAUCAUUCAGCCAAAAUGCAUAAAAUGUAAAUGUUUUAUUCAUUAAAAAUUUAAUAA
This is a long non-coding RNA of Daktulosphaira vitifoliae (grape phylloxera), 1962 nucleotides long. RefSeq lists it as uncharacterized. Lineage: Eukaryota; Metazoa; Arthropoda; Insecta; Hemiptera; Phylloxeridae. The record is from RefSeq and is a predicted model, not a curated record. The transcript has 3 exons.